This 109-nucleotide small nuclear RNA is filed under the name Moschus moschiferus (Siberian musk deer). RNAcentral's name for it is "U2 spliceosomal RNA (ENSMMSG00000021231.1)". It matches the Rfam family "U2 spliceosomal RNA". Rfam says of the family: U2 is a small nuclear RNA (snRNA) component of the spliceosome (involved in pre-mRNA splicing). The record is from Rfam by way of RNAcentral. Lineage: Eukaryota; Metazoa; Chordata; Mammalia; Artiodactyla; Moschidae.
GUGGGUUUGUGUCCUUUUGGCUAAGAUCAAGUGUAGUAUCUGUUCUUAUCAGUUUAAUAUCUGCUACGUCCUCUAUCCAAGGACAAUAUAUUAAAUAAUCAUAAUCACA